This 450-nucleotide ribosomal RNA is filed under the name uncultured bacterium. RNAcentral's name for it is "partial 16S ribosomal RNA". It matches the Rfam family "Bacterial small subunit ribosomal RNA", at positions 354 to 796 of the family's 1533-position model. The record is from RNAcentral.
GUGGGGAAUUUUGGACAAUGGGCGCAAGCCUGAUCCAGCCAUUCCGCGUGCAGGAUGAAGGCCUUCGGGUUGUAAACUGCUUUUGUACGGAACGAAAAGCCUCUGGUUAAUACCCGGGGGUCAUGACGGUACCGUAAGAAUAAGCACCGGCUAACUACGUGCCAGCAGCCGCGGUAAUACGUAGGGUGCGAGCGUUAAUCGGAAUUACUGGGCGUAAAGCGUGCGCAGGCGGUGAUGUAAGACAGUUGUGAAAUCCCCGGGCUCAACCUGGGAACUGCAUCUGUGACUGCAUUGCUGGAGUGCGGCAGAGGGGGAUGGAAUUCCGCGUGUAGCAGUGAAAUGCGUAGAUAUGCGGAGGAACACCGAUGGCGAAGGCAAUCCCCUGGGCCUGCACUGACGCUCAUGCACGAAAGCGUGGGGAGCAAACAGGAUUAGAUACCCUAGUAGUCC